Long non-coding RNA from Pteronotus mesoamericanus, 194 nucleotides. RefSeq lists it as uncharacterized. Lineage: Eukaryota; Metazoa; Chordata; Mammalia; Chiroptera; Mormoopidae. The transcript has 3 exons. The record is from RefSeq and is a predicted model, not a curated record.
UGGGCAGGCUAGAGGAGGAAGCGUUGCGGCGAAAGGAACGGCUGAAGGCCCUUCGAGAGAAAACCGGGCGCAAGGGAGCUCAGGCUGCGGAACUACGUCCCGGAGGACGAGGCCCUGAAGAGGAGAAGGGUGCCCCAGGCCAAGCCAGUUGCAGUGGAAGAGAAGGUGAAGGAGCAGCUGGAGGCCGCCAAGCC